RNAcentral lists this ribosomal RNA (484 nucleotides) under uncultured bacterium. RNAcentral describes it as "partial 16S ribosomal RNA". It matches the Rfam family "Bacterial small subunit ribosomal RNA", at positions 30 to 507 of the family's 1533-position model. The record is from RNAcentral.
AUUGAACGCUGGCGGCAGGCCUAACACAUGCAAGUCGAGCGGAUGAAGGGAGCUUGCUCCUGGAUUCAGCGGCGGACGGGUGAGUAAUGCCUAGGAAUCUGCCUGGUAGUGGGGGAUAACGUCCGGAAACGGGCGCUAAUACCGCAUACGUCCUGAGGGAGAAAGUGGGGGAUCUUCGGACCUCACGCUAUCAGAUGAGCCUAGGUCGGACUAGCUAGUUGGUGGGGUAAAGGCCUACCAAGGCGACGAUCCGUAACUGGUCUGAGAGGAUGAUCAGUCACACUGGAUCUGAGACACGGUCCAGACUCCUACGGGAGGCAGCAGUGGGGAAUAUUGGACAAUGGGCGAAAGCCUGAUCCAGCCAUGCCGCGUGUGUGAAGAAGGUCUUCGGAUUGUAAAGCACUUUAAGUUGGGAGGAAGGGCAGUAAGUUAAUACCUUGCUGUUUUGACGUUACCAACAGAAUAAGCACCGGCUAACUUCGUG